UUGGCUCAGGAUGAACGCUGGCGGCGUGCCUAACACAUGCAAGUCGAACGGAGUAUAUUCGCUGCAGAGAUUCGGUCGAAGCUUGAGUAUACUUAGUGGCGGACGGGUGAGUAACGCGUGGGCAACCUGCCUCAUACUGGGGGAUAGCAGUUGGAAACGACUGAUAAAACCGCAUAAGCGCACGGUACCGCAUGGUACAGUGUGAAAAACUCCGGUGGUAUGAGAUGGGCCCGCGUCAGAUUAGCUAGUUGGUGAGGUAAAGGCCCACCAAGGCGACGAUCUGUAGCCGGACUGAGAGGUCGGACGGCCACAUUGGGACUGAGACACGGCCCAAACUCCUACGGGAGGCAGCAGUGGGGGAUAUUGCACAAUGGAGGAAACUCUGAUGCAGCGACGCCCGCGUGAGUGAAGAAGUAUUUCGGUAUGUAAAGCUCUAUCAGCAGGGAAGAAAGGCCCGCAAGGGAGAUGACGGUACCUGACUAAGAAGCCCCGGCUAACUACGUGCCAGCCGCGGC
Molecule: ribosomal RNA, 515 nt
Filed under: uncultured bacterium
Lineage: Bacteria
Description: bacterial SSU rRNA
Rfam family: Bacterial small subunit ribosomal RNA
Source: RNAcentral